AUACGGAGGGUGCAAGCGUUACUCGGAAUCACUGGGCGUAAAGCGCGCGCAGGCGGUCUUUUAAGUUGGAUGUGAAAGCCUACGGCUCAACCGUAGAACUGCAUCCAAAACUAUUAGACUAGAGUGUGGGAGAGGAAGAUGGAAUUAGUUGUGUAGGGGUAAAAUCCGUAGAAAUAACUAGGAAUACCAAAAGCGAAGGCAAUCUUCUGGAACACUACUGAUGCUGAGGCGCGAAAGCGUGGGGAGCAAACAGGAUUAGAAACCCUUGUAGUCC
This 274-nucleotide ribosomal RNA is filed under the name uncultured bacterium. RNAcentral describes it as "partial 16S ribosomal RNA". It matches the Rfam family "Bacterial small subunit ribosomal RNA", at positions 523 to 796 of the family's 1533-position model. The record is from RNAcentral.